CCUACGGGGGGCAGCAGUGAGGAAUAUUGGUCAAUGGGCGGGAGCCUGAACCAGCCAAGUCGCGUGAGGGAAGACGGUCCUAUGGAUUGUAAACCUCUUUAGGCGGGGAGCAAUGCCGGGCACGCGUGCCCGGAGGGAGAGUACCCGCAGAAUAAGCAUCGGCUAACUCCGUGCCAGCCGCCGCGGUAAUACGGGGGAUGCGAGCGUUAUCCGGAUUUAUUGGGUUUACAGGGUGCGAAGGCGGAUUUUUAAGUCAGCGGUAAAAUGUCCGGGCUCAACCCGGGCCGGCCGUUGAAACUGGGAAUCUGGAGUGGGCGAGAAGUAUGCGGAAUGCGAGGUGUAGCGGUGAAAGGCAUAGAUAUCACGAAGAACUCCGAUUGCGAAGGCAGCAUACCGGCGCCCGACUGACGCUGAGGCACGAAAGCGUGGGGAUCGAACAGGAUUAGAUACCCCUGUAGUC
RNAcentral lists this ribosomal RNA (460 nucleotides) under uncultured bacterium. RNAcentral's name for it is "partial 16S ribosomal RNA". It matches the Rfam family "Bacterial small subunit ribosomal RNA", at positions 338 to 795 of the family's 1533-position model. The record is from RNAcentral.